UGCCACUUUGGACUCUUCUACAUUUGGGGGUGGGGAGUGUGCACUGCACACAGGCAAACUUUACUAAAGUUAGAUGAAGUGUUCCCUUCCCUCCAACUCUUGUGCAUAUGACUCCUUGUAUAUUCCCUCUCUUAUGAAAAAGAAACACUGUAGUAACUAAGAGCGUGAAAUUCCAUAAAUUUUACAGCUAAAGAGAAUGGUUGUGAUAAAUACACUGAAACAACAAAAUCAGCGACAUGAGUCUGAGCGGUGACAAGCAGCGGUGUGACAUCUGGCGGAAGCUAAAGUCACAGUAAGGGGGAGAGAGGUGGGCGUGAGGAAGCAUCCUGCCAAGCGUGGACACAGAAAAAUAGCACUGAGAGGAUUUCAUGAAAAUGCAAUUUACAGACUUAGAUGGGAUAGAAAACCUCAACUAGUUUACCCAGUAUCCCUUUUACAAAUGUGGGGACUAAACUUCAAAGAGGAAACAGUAACUUGCCCUAAACCACACAGGUAAUUAGCAUCAAGGGUCAGGUCCAGAAUUCAGGCCUCCCAACUGCAAGUCCUACAUGCUUUUCCAGGAAAUCAUGCUGCCUCCACAAAAUGGAAAUUAGUGUAAAAAUAUGAUUUGGUAUGUAAAUGCAGUUUCACACUCAUAUAUUUCAGAAUGCACUAUUUUGCAUACUAGCAUCUACUGCUCUCUAUUUCACUUAUCAC
RNAcentral lists this long non-coding RNA (696 nucleotides) under Pan troglodytes (chimpanzee). RNAcentral's name for it is "long non-coding RNA NONPTRT000185". The record is from RNAcentral. Lineage: Eukaryota; Metazoa; Chordata; Mammalia; Primates; Hominidae.